AAGAAUCAUGUUUACUUAAUUCUUGCCUUACCAAUACAUUUAGCUCUGAUCCUCAUUUGCUAAUGUUUUUGUUGUGCAUGCAUGGUUGUGUUUUGAGCGACGCAGGUCAUGGCCGAGAAGAUUGUUAUAUUUUGCCGUUACUACGUUCCACUUAUUGUUCUUCUUCCUUAUCGAACCCUCCAAUUCUUCUACCAAAUCAAAACCCAAGUUCCCAUUGAGCCAAAACACUCUUCUUCCUUCAUCACAGACUCCGAAAUCCAAUCCGAAUUUGCUCACCAUGCUCCUGGUGUUGCCAUGAUGAACAAUGGCAGCUUUGGUUGCUGCCCUGCUUCUGUCAUCUCUGCCUUGCAUCAAUGGCAGCUCAAAAUGUUCCGCCAGCCGAGCCAUUUCUUAUUGAAUGAGCUCAAGAACAGGAUACUUGAAUCAAGAACCAUAAUUAAAGACCAUAUCAACGCAGAAGAUGUGGAUGAAGUCUCCAUUGUAGACAACAUCUCCACUGCUGCUGCCAUAGUCCUGCAGCAAACAGCAUGGGCCUUUGCUGAAGGGAAAUUCAACAAAGGGGAUGCUGUCAUUAUGUUUAGCUGCACUUACGGUGCGGUGAAGAACUCAAUCGAGGCCUACUUUUCACGUGCUGGUGGGUCCGUUAUCGAAGUUCCAUUUAACUUUCCAUUGAAUUCCAAUGAAGAAAUCAUAAGUGAAUUUAGGAAAGCAUUGGAGAGAGAAAAGGGUAAUGGUAGGAGAGUGAGAUUGGCUGUGAUUGAUCAUGUUACAUGUGUGCCAACUGUUGUAAUGCCAGUUAAGCAAUUGGUUAAAAUCUGUAGGGAUGAAGGUGUUGAACAAGUGUUCAUAGAUGCAGCUCAUGCUGUUGGGAGCGUAGAUGUUGAUAUGCAAGAAAUUGGGGCAGAUUUUUAUGCUAGUACUUUGUAUAAGUGGUUCUUCUGCCCGCCUGUUGUUUCAUUUCUGUAUUGUAGGAAAUCAGCUACACAUUCAGAUUUGGAAUUGCAUCACCCUAUUGUGUCUCAUAGGUAUGGUAAGGGGUUGGCUGAAGAAAGUUUUUGGGUUGGGACAAGGGAUUAUAGUCCAUAUCUGGUGCUUCCUUCAGUUAUGGAGUUCGUUAACAGGUUCGAAGGCGGUCUUAAGGGAAUCAUAAAAAGGAAUCAUGAUGCUGUUGUUGAGAUGGGGAAGAUGUUGGCAGAAGCUUGGGGAACCAAUCUAGGGUGUCCUCCUGAUAUGUGCGCUAGCAUGAUCAUGGUAGGGUUACCGGCUUGUUUGGGGAUUUCAAGUGAUGAUGAUGCUACGAAGUUAAGGCCACAUUUAUGUGAUAAAUUUGGUGUUGAAGUCAGAAUACAUUAUCAAGCUCCCAAAGAUGGAGAGGUUGGAUCAACGACGGGGUAUGUUCGAAUUUGUCAUCAGAUUUACAACAAAGUUGAUGACUAUUACAAGCUCAGAGAUGCAGUUAAUCAACUAGUUCGUGAUGGAUUCACUUGCGCUCUUGAGGUAUGUAUAUGCUCUGCCUUCAUCCAGUUUAUUGGUUUGUAAGCUAGACAUACUAUACACUGCAACUUGCUAAAUUUGGUUUGCUUACUUGUUAUUGACAUGGGAUUUUACGUUAAUCUGUAGAUCAAUGAGGCCUGAACUCCGUUCGAUGAAAAAAAGAAGCUAUAUGGUCCUAUAUCCUGCAUGCUUUGCUAGUUGUGCAAUGGAUUUUGUACCAUUAACUUCUGAAGUGCUCCUGAGCAAACAAGUAUAUAUAUAGAGAAGUUCAUGAAUUUUCAGUUUGAUAUGCAGAAAAGUUCAUGUAUGAAUACAUUAACAAUUAUCUGUCGGUUUGGUUGUGAUUCGCAGAGAUUAGGACUCGAUUUGAACACAGCACCUCAUGCAAUCAGUUUGACAAUAAGUGAAACACAAUGUGUGCUUGAACAACAAGACUUACCUGAAAGCACUUGCACUCCUUUGCAGUUUUAUAAUAAGCAAUUGUAACUGAUGCAUUCCUUAAAAGCCCUUCAAUUAUUUACUCUUCAUCUUUCUAAUAUAAUGUGUUAAACUGUCUCUUUGAGCUCAGUGAUUUAAUCCCAGAACUUUUAAGUUACCGUGCCCACUUGAACUAUAUGAGUGUUACUACAAAUGGUAUCAGUUCAGCCAUAAGCUGCAUUUGUUAAUAAGCUGAUAUAUUUACUAAAGUGAUGUUUUUCUUGCCACAAAGGCAAACCUAAAUCCAUGGUUCUCUAGCGUUCCAUUUUCCAUGCAUAAUUUCCAGCACAUCACAUGUAGAUAGCCAGAUUCAAAAGCAUGAAAAUAUGGAAGUUGACUUUAGAUUAAUACACCAAACUUUAUAAGAUUGUCUUUUGGUGACCCAAAUCUUAAAAUCAACGUCAUAAUCCUUUAUUUUUCUCCCUAAUCAAUUUAAACCUCCCUAAUGUCAUAUAUAAAACAAGUGAUUUUGGUCGUAGCUCUCUUGUCUUUUGUAGUCAAGACAAGCAUUGAGACAUAUCAAGAGUCCGCAAGAAUAUUACAAAUUAAUAAGUUGAACAAUGACUAUGAAUGAGAGAUCAUUAACGCCCAAUUUCAACAAACGCUUAAGGUACUUAAAAUCAUCAUGUUCAAUUAAUUCUUGCCUCGACAAUACAAUCGGCGCUGAUCCUCAUUAAUUUGCUAAUGUCUUUGUUGUGUAUGGUUCUGGUUUGAGUGAGCAGGUCAUGGCUAAAAAGAUUAUUAUGUUUUGCCGCCACUAUGUUCCACCUAUUCUUCUCCUUCCUUAUCAAACCUUCCAAUUCCUCUACCCCAAGCUUUCAUUUCAAGUCUCAAGGGCCUCUAACCACCAUUUCCACAACCUCAAAGCUGAUGAAAUCCAAACCCAUGUUCCCAUUGAGACAAAACUCUCUUCUUCCUUCAUCACAGACUCCGAAAUCCAAUCUGAAUUUGCUCACCAUGCUCCUGGUGUUGCCAGGAUGAACAAUGGCAGCUUUGGUUGCUGCCCUGCUUCUAUCAUCUCUGACUUACAUCAAUGGCAGCUCAAAUUGCUCCGCCAGCCGGACCAUUUCUACCUGAAUGAGCUCCAGAACAGGAUACUCGAAUCAAGAACCGUAGUUAAAGACCUUAUCAAUGCAGAAGAUGUGGAUGAAGUCUCCAUUGUAGACAAUGUCUCCACUGCUGUAGCCAUAGUCCUGCAGCAGACGGCAUGGGCCUUUGCUGAAAGGAAAUUCAACCAAGGGGAUGCUCUCAUUAUGUUUCACUGUGCUUAUGGAGCGGUGAAGAACUCAAUCAAGGCCUACUUUCUGCGUGCUGGUGGGUACGUUAUCGAAGUUCCAUUUAAAUUUCCGCUGAAUUCCAAUGAAGAAAUCAUAAGUGAAUUUAGGAAAGCAUUGGAGAGAGAAAAGGGUAAUGGUAGGAGAGUGAGAUUAGCUGUGAUUGAUCAUGUCACAUGCAUGCCAAGUGUUAUAAUGCCAGUUAAGCAUUUGGUCAAAAUUUGUAGGGAAGAAGGUGUCGAACAAGUUUUAAUAGAUGCAGCUCAUGGUGUUGGGUGCAUAGAUGUUGAUAUGCAAGAAAUUGGGGCAGAUUUUUAUACUAGCAAUUUGUAUAAGUGGUUCUUUUGCCCACCUGCAGUUGCAUUUCUGUAUUGUAGGAAGUCAGUGACAAAUUCAGAUUUGCAAUUGCAUCACCCUGUGGUGUCUCAUGAGUAUGGCAAUGGGUUGGCUAAAGAAACUGGUUGGGUUGGGACAAGGGAUUACAGUCCUUAUCUGGUGCUUCCUUCAGUUAUGGAGUUUGUCAAUAGGUUCGAAGGCGGUGUUGAGGGGAUCAGAAAAAUGAAUCAUGAUGCUGUUGUUGAGAUGGGGAAGAUGUUGGCAGAAGCUUGGGGAACCAAUCUAGGCUGUCCUCCUGAUAUGUGUGCUAGCAUGAUCAUGGUUGGUUUGCCAGCUUGUUUGGGGAUUUCAAGUGAUGAUGAUGCUAUAAAGUUAUGGGCACGUUUAUGCAAGAAAUUUGGUGUUGAAGUCAAGAUACAUUAUCAAGCUCCCAAAGAUGCCGAGGUUGCGCCGACAACAGGGUAUGUUCGAAUUUGUCAUCAGAUUUACAACAAAGUUGAUGACUAUAACAAGCUCAGAGAUGCAAUUAAUCAACUCGUUCGUGACGGUUUCACUUGCGCUCUUGAGGUAUAUAUAUGCUCUGCCUUCAUCCACUUUAUUGGUUUAUAAGCUAGACGUACUACACACUGCAGUUUCCUGAAUUUGGUUUGCUAACUUGUUAUUGACAUGGGAUAUCAUGUUGAUCUGCAGAUCAAUGAGGCCUGAAGAAGUCUGUUCGAUGAAUAAAAGGAGCUGUAGUUCUCUGUGUCCUACAUCCUUUGCUAGCUGCAAUGGUUUUGGUACAAUUAAGUCCAAAAGUGCUCCUUCAGAGGCAAAAAAACUAUACAGAAAGUUCAUGAACAUUUCUUUUUUCUUUUUUCGGUUUGAUAUGUAGAAAACUUCAUGUAUGAAUACAUAAACAAUUGUCUGUCAGCUUCAAGGAAUGUAAUUUCCAGAUAUGUUUACCGACCAAUGGGCUCCAUUUGAGAAUCUGUGAAAACCCAAGAACUUAAACAACCAACAAGAUUAACCUAAAAAUACUUGCCCUUUACACUUUCUCCUUUACCUUUUAUAAACAGCAAUUCUAACCCUAAAAGGCGUUCAAAGAAUUACUCUCCAGCUUUAUAAUAUAGUGUUAAAGUGUCAUCUUUAUAAGUUGGUGAGCACACCAACAAGUGGGUCAGCAUUUAUAAUGAAUAUAGCUUAACGAGUGCUAUCAGUUCAAGGCCUCUAGGAAGCCACAAGCUUUCAUAGAUGAAUAUAGCUUAACGAGUGCUAUCAGCAUUUGUAAUAGAUAUUUCAAGAAAGGGCUGCUCUCUCCAACUUAAUAAUUGAAAUUUAGGGAAACAAGUCUGAGCUUCAAAAUAUGAAGCAGACCUCUGAGCUCUUAUUCCCUAUUUAUCAUUCUCUUUCUCGUAUCUUCGUAUAUUAAUUUCUUGUGGUACUUUGCUGCUAGUAUUAUCAUCAAAUUCCAACAUCAUCCGCGAAAGAAAACUACUUUCGACAACGGCUUAGGGUACUUACUAAAAAUCAUGUUUAAUUAAUUCUUGCCUCAACAAUACAUUUGGCUCUGAUCCUCAUUUUUUAUUGUUUUUUUUUUUUUGUUGUGCAUGCAUGGUUGUGUUUUUUAGUAACGCAGGUCAUGGCUGAGAAGAUUAUUAUGUUUUGCCGUUACUAUGUUCUACUUAUUGUUCUUCUUCCUUAUCGAACCCUCCAAUUCUUCUACCACAAGCUUUCAUUCCAAGUCUCAAGGGCCUCUAACCUAGAUGCUGCUGAGGGCAUCGAAAACCAUGCUCCCAUUGAGCCAAAGCUUUCUUCUUCCUUCAUCACAGACUCCCAAAUCCAAUCUGAAUUUGCUCACCAUGCUCCUGGUGUUGCCAUGAUGAACAAUGGCAGCUUUGGUUGCUGCCCUGCUUCUGUCAUCUCUGCCUUGCAACAAUGGCAGCUCAAAAUGCUCCGCCAGCCGUGCAAUUUCUUCUUGAAUGAUCUCCAGAACAGGAUACUUGAAUCAAGAACCAUAAUUAAAGACCUUAUCAACGCAGAAGAUGUGGAUGAAGUCUCCAUUGUAGACAACAUCUCCACUGCUGCUGCCAUAGUCCUGCAGCAAACAGCAUGGGCCUUUGCUGAAGGGAAAUUCAACAAGGGGGAUACUGUCAUUAUGUUUAGCUGCACUUAUGGUGCAGUGAAGAACUCAAUCAAGGCCUACUUUUCACGUGCUGGUGGGUAUGUUAUCGAAGUUCCAUUUAACUUUCCAUUGAAUUCCAAUGAAGAAAUCAUAAGUGAAUUUAGGAAAGCAUUGGAGAGAGAAAAGGGUAAUGGUAGGAGAGUGAGAUUGGCUGUGAUAGAUCAUGUCACAUG
Molecule: long non-coding RNA, 5918 nt
Filed under: Prunus persica (peach)
Lineage: Eukaryota; Viridiplantae; Streptophyta; Magnoliopsida; Rosales; Rosaceae
Description: long non-coding RNA (PPER_LNC006682)
Source: RNAcentral